Molecule: ribosomal RNA, 497 nt
Filed under: uncultured bacterium
Lineage: Bacteria
Description: partial 16S ribosomal RNA
Rfam family: Bacterial small subunit ribosomal RNA
Source: RNAcentral
GAUGAACGCUGGCGGCGUGCCUAAUACAUGCAAGUCGAGCGAACAGACGAGGAGCUUGCUCCUCUGACGUUAGCGGCGGACGGUGGAGUAACACGUGGAUAACCUACCUAUAAGACUGGGAUAACUUCGGGAAACCGGAGCUAAUACCGGGUAAUAUAUUGAACCGCCUGGUUCAAUAGUGAAAGACGGUUUUGCUGUCACUUAUAGAUGGAUCCGCGCCGCAUUAGCUAGUUGGUAAGGUAACGGCUGACCAAGGCAACGAUGCGUAGCCGACCUGAGAGCGUGAUCGGCCACACUAGAGCUGAGACACGGUCCAGAGUGCUACGGGAGGCAGCAGUAGGGAAUCUUCCGCAAUGGGCGAAAGCCUGACGGAGCAACGCCGCGUGAGUGAUGAAGGUCUUCGGAUCGUAAAACUCUGUUAUUAGGGAAGAACAAAUGUGUAAGUAACUAUGCACGUCUUGACGGUAACUAAUCAGAAAGCCACGGCUAACUACGUG